GAUAAUUCAUUUUUAUCAUGAAACAAAAUUUGGGGUUGACGCAUUAGAUGCGAAAUGUGCGUUGUAUUCAGUAUCCAGAAAAACUAACCGUUGGCUAAUGGCAAUUUUUUUGCUAUAUUGAACAUUGCAGGUGUAAAUUCUCGAGUAUUGUACCAAUUUGCAUGAAAAGAUGAACAUUUGCGACUCAGAAUGGCCAACAAGAAGUUGCACUUAAAUUUACGAAUCCUCAUUGCUGGACUUUUGGGGGUUACGAAUCCAGUUUCUGAGCAGCCUCAGGUACCUCCUGAAAAAAGUAGAAGAAAAAGGUGUGUCAUAUGCCCCACCAACAAGGAUAGGAAAACUGCUAUCCAGUGUGACAUAUGUAAAUUGCCCAUUUGCAAUCAAUGAUGCAAGAAAUUGUGCCCUAAGUAUUCUGAAAAAUAAUGUUGGGUUUUUUUCGGUUUAUGUACUGUAAUAUACCCAAGUUAUUUAAAAUUUUUGAAUAAAAGUUUUUUUUUAUUGA
This is a long non-coding RNA of Anthonomus grandis grandis, 502 nucleotides long. RefSeq lists it as uncharacterized. The transcript has 2 exons. The record is from RefSeq and is a predicted model, not a curated record. NCBI's taxonomy places the organism in Eukaryota, Metazoa, Arthropoda, Insecta, Coleoptera, Curculionidae.